Molecule: ribosomal RNA, 254 nt
Filed under: uncultured bacterium
Lineage: Bacteria
Description: partial 16S ribosomal RNA
Rfam family: Bacterial small subunit ribosomal RNA
Source: RNAcentral
UACGUAGGGUCCGAGCGUUGUCCGGAUUUAUUGGGCGUAAAGAGCUCGUAGGCGGUUCCGUAAGUCAGAUGUGAAAACUCAGGGCUCAACCCGGAGACGCCAUCUGAUACUGCGGUGACUGGAGUCUGGUAGGGGAACACGGAAUUCCUGGUGUAGCGGUGAAAUGCGCAGAUAUCAGGAGGAACACCGAUGGCGAAGGCGGGUCUCUGGGCAGUUACUGACGCUGAGGCGCGAAAGCGUGGGGAGCAAACAGG